Molecule: long non-coding RNA, 1601 nt
Organism: Gallus gallus (chicken)
Lineage: Eukaryota; Metazoa; Chordata; Aves; Galliformes; Phasianidae
Source: Ensembl
UCCGAGCUGCCUCGACACCCACAGCUGCUUUCCGCCAAGCUGUGAGUCCUCUUCCGGCUCCUCGUGCUCCAAAUUUAUCUGCACCUGCUCUUCCUCCUGGAUGGACCACGUUCAGUCCCUGCAGGUGGACGUAGGAGCAUCUGACGACCCAGGGCAAAGCUGUGGUGCGUGGUGGUCCAUGCGAUGUGGGCUUCCAGUUCUGGGGAAGAUGCUGUGGUGUGGAGUGGUUGUGGUGCUUUACACGAACCCAGCUUGGAAACUGGGGGCUCGGGAAGAGGGAAACCACGGCUCUGCAUCUGUCACUGACACACAUUGGCUUCAGUACCAUAUUCAGCCAGGAUGGAUAUUAGGAAAUUGAGUUCAGGUUGGAUAUAAGGAAAGAUUCUUCUCAGAAAGAGCGGUGCUGCAGUGGCACAGGCUGCACAGGGAGGUGGUGCAGUCACCGUCCCUGGAGGUGUUCCAGAGCCGUGUGGAUGUGGCACUGAGGACGUGGUCAGUGGGCAUGGUGGGGGUGGGCUGGCGGUUGGACUGGGUGAUCUUAGAGGCCUUUUCCAGCCUUAAUGAUUCCAUGAUUCUAUGAUUCUAUGAUUCUGUAAGCCUUGGCAUGAGCGCUGGAGCAGCUCUCUUCAAGGGGAAAGUCUGGGGCCAAGGACGGCUGCAGGUGGAGACACCGGGAUGAAGCAUAGGGACACCACGAUACAUCCUGCAGGCUGAGGUGGGAACGUUCCUUUUCUCCUGGCCUUAAGUUUCCCUCCCCUCCAUGCAUAUCUAAGCUGGUGAGGCAAAAAAAUGCCCUGCUCCCCCCUCCGUCCUUGCAGAAAUAGAGUCGGACUUGGAAUUCCCCUCUGUCUCAUGGCUGGGGACACAGGGUCUCGCUGGUGAUCUCAGCCCGGCAGAAACCUUUCUGUGCUGAGAGCAGGCAGCAGCGGAGCAGGAGGCUGGGAAGGAGGAGGGGAGCCAUGGCAGGAAACCAAGAACACAUCAGACACUCUAAAUUUAGAUCUUUUUAUUCAGCUCGGACAAUAUUCCUUGAUUUCUCAUUGUUCGGCGGAGGGCAGAGGGCAGGGGAUCUAUUGAAAGGCUUUGUCCUGAGAGAUGCCACUUUGUCUGGGCACAGGGGGGCGGAGGAGCCGCAGAUUGGGGCGGAUGGGGGCUCCCAUCCCACCGCUCCAGCGAUGCUCGGGCACCUGUGCAGUCCCACUACCCUCAGGGUACCCCCCGUGCCCCAUCCAUGCUGGGGAGCGCCGGCUGCGGGGCCCCACGGUGAGCGGUCCCCGUGGCAGCGGGGCAGCGGGCGCAGGGUGUGUAAAUGCAGGGUAAAUACACACCCGCUCUAUACGUCUCGCUGCCUUUCCGGCACUGCAGCUCAAAGUCUAUUUUUAAACUCCCUCCUUUAUUACACAUGCCAGCAGAUAGCCACGGCCUGCCCACCCCCAUAGCAAGGUGCUGCUCUACUGUGUGCCCAGCAUGGGGAUGGGGCCCGUGGUGGGCCACCGACCCGCUCCUCUGCCCAUCACCGUUGGGCAAUCCGGGGUGCCCGGCCACGUGUGCGUGCUAUUGCAAUGCAGCUGCAGGGUGCACAGUGCCUGGGAUGACGGCUG